Molecule: ribosomal RNA, 2978 nt
Filed under: Salmonella enterica subsp. enterica serovar Anatum
Lineage: Bacteria; Pseudomonadati; Pseudomonadota; Gammaproteobacteria; Enterobacterales; Enterobacteriaceae
Also listed under: 1 other name
Description: bacterial LSU rRNA
Rfam family: Bacterial large subunit ribosomal RNA
Source: RNAcentral
ACUAAGCGUACACGGUGGAUGCCCUGGCAGUCAGAGGCGAUGAAGGGCGUGCUAAUCUGCGAUAAGCGCCGGUAAGGUGAUAUGAACCGUUAUAACCGGCGAUACCCGAAUGGGGAAACCCAGUGUGAUUCGUCACACUAUCAUUAACUGAAUCCAUAGGUUAAUGAGGCGAACCGGGGGAACUGAAACAUCUAAGUACCCCGAGGAAAAGAAAUCAACCGAGAUUCCCCCAGUAGCGGCGAGCGAACGGGGAGGAGCCCAGAGCCUGAAUCAGCAUGUGUGUUAGUGGAAGCGUCUGGAAAGGCGCGCGAUACAGGGUGACAGCCCCGUACACAAAAGCGCAUGUGCUGUGAGCUCGAUGAGUAGGGCGGGACACGUGGUAUCCUGUCUGAAUAUGGGGGGACCAUCCUCCAAGGCUAAAUACUCCUGACUGACCGAUAGUGAACCAGUACCGUGAGGGAAAGGCGAAAAGAACCCCGGCGAGGGGAGUGAAAAAGAACCUGAAACCGUGUACGUACAAGCAGUGGGAGCACAGGUUUACCUGUGUGACUGCGUACCUUUUGUAUAAUGGGUCAGCGACUUAUAUUCUGUAGCAAGGUUAACCGAAUAGGGGAGCCGGAGGGAAACCGAGUCUUAAUUGGGCGUUAAGUUGCAGGGUAUAGACCCGAAACCCGGUGAUCUAGCCAUGGGCAGGUUGAAGGUUGGGUAACACUAACUGGAGGACCGAACCGACUAAUGUUGAAAAAUUAGCGGAUGACCUGUGGCUGGGGGUGAAAGGCCAAUCAAACCGGGAGAUAGCUGGUUCUCCCCGAAAGCUAUUUAGGUAGCGCCUCGUGAAUUCAUCUCCGGGGGUAGAGCACUGUUUCGGCUAGGGGGCCAUCCCGGCUUACCAACCCGAUGCAAACUGCGAAUACCGGAGAAUGUUAUCACGGGAGACACACGGCGGGUGCUAACGUCCGUCGUGAAGAGGGAAACAACCCAGACCGCCAGCUAAGGUCCCAAAGUCAUGGUUAAGUGGGAAACGAUGUGGGAAGGCCCAGACAGCCAGGAUGUUGGCUUAGAAGCAGCCAUCAUUUAAAGAAAGCGUAAUAGCUCACUGGUCGAGUCGGCCUGCGCGGAAGAUGUAACGGGGCUAAACCAUGCACCGAAGCUGCGGCAGCGAACGUAUCACUUAAAGCGAUUCAGCGGGUUACGAUUGACGGAGCGAAGCGACGUCAAAGCGUAUACAAAGUCGAGUCGGUUUAAGGAUACGUUCGUUGGGUAGGGGAGCGUUCUGUAAGCCUGUGAAGGUGGCCUGUGAGGGUUGCUGGAGGUAUCAGAAGUGCGAAUGCUGACAUAAGUAACGAUAAAGCGGGUGAAAAGCCCGCUCGCCGGAAGACCAAGGGUUCCUGUCCAACGUUAAUCGGGGCAGGGUGAGUCGACCCCUAAGGCGAGGCCGAAAGGCGUAGUCGAUGGGAAACAGGUUAAUAUUCCUGUACUUGGUGUUACUGCGAAGGGGGGACGGAGAAGGCUAUGUUGGCCGGGCGACGGUUGUCCCGGUUUAAGCGUGUAGGUGUGUGUUCCAGGUAAAUCCGGUUCACUUUAACACUGAGGCGUGAUGACGAGGCACUACGGUGCUGAAGCAACAAAUGCCCUGCUUCCAGGAAAAGCCUCUAAGCAUCAGGUAACAUCAAAUCGUACCCCAAACCGACACAGGUGGUCAGGUAGAGAAUACCAAGGCGCUUGAGAGAACUCGGGUGAAGGAACUAGGCAAAAUGGUGCCGUAACUUCGGGAGAAGGCACGCUGACACGUAGGUGAAGUGAUUUACUCAUGGAGCUGAAGUCAGUCGAAGAUACCAGCUGGCUGCAACUGUUUAUUAAAAACACAGCACUGUGCAAACACGAAAGUGGACGUAUACGGUGUGACGCCUGCCCGGUGCCGGAAGGUUAAUUGAUGGGGUCAGCGCAAGCGAAGCUCCUGAUCGAAGCCCCGGUAAACGGCGGCCGUAACUAUAACGGUCCUAAGGUAGCGAAAUUCCUUGUCGGGUAAGUUCCGACCUGCACGAAUGGCGUAAUGAUGGCCAGGCUGUCUCCACCCGAGACUCAGUGAAAUUGAACUCGCUGUGAAGAUGCAGUGUACCCGCGGCAAGACGGAAAGACCCCGUGAACCUUUACUAUAGCUUGACACUGAACAUUGAGCCUUGAUGUGUAGGAUAGGUGGGAGGCUUUGAAGCGUGGACGCCAGUCUGCGUGGAGCCGACCUUGAAAUACCACCCUUUAAUGUUUGAUGUUCUAACGUGGACCCGUAAUCCGGGUUGCGGACAGUGUCUGGUGGGUAGUUUGACUGGGGCGGUCUCCUCCUAAAGAGUAACGGAGGAGCACGAAGGUUGGCUAAUCCUGGUCGGACAUCAGGAGGUUAGUGCAAUGGCAUAAGCCAGCUUGACUGCGAGCGUGACGGCGCGAGCAGGUGCGAAAGCAGGUCAUAGUGAUCCGGUGGUUCUGAAUGGAAGGGCCAUCGCUCAACGGAUAAAAGGUACUCCGGGGAUAACAGGCUGAUACCGCCCAAGAGUUCAUAUCGACGGCGGUGUUUGGCACCUCGAUGUCGGCUCAUCACAUCCUGGGGCUGAAGUAGGUCCCAAGGGUAUGGCUGUUCGCCAUUUAAAGUGGUACGCGAGCUGGGUUUAGAACGUCGUGAGACAGUUCGGUCCCUAUCUGCCGUGGGCGCUGGAGAACUGAGGGGGGCUGCUCCUAGUACGAGAGGACCGGAGUGGACGCAUCACUGGUGUUCGGGUUGUCAUGCCAAUGGCACUGCCCGGUAGCUAAAUGCGGAAGAGAUAAGUGCUGAAAGCAUCUAAGCACGAAACUUGCCCCGAGAUGAGUUCUCCCUGAGACUUAGAGUCUCCUGAAGGAACGUUGAAGACGACGACGUUGAUAGGCCGGGUGUGUAAGCGCAGCGAUGCGUUGAGCUAACCGGUACUAAUGAACCGUGAGGCUUAACC